Molecule: ribosomal RNA, 211 nt
Filed under: uncultured bacterium
Lineage: Bacteria
Description: partial 16S ribosomal RNA
Rfam family: Bacterial small subunit ribosomal RNA
Source: RNAcentral
CGUGCCCAGUCGUGGGGGAUAACGCAGUGAAAGCUGUGCUAAUACCGCAUACGAUCUCUGGAUGAAAGCGGGGGACUCGGCAACGAGCCUCGCGCGAUUGGAGCGGCCGAUAUCAGAUUAGCUAGUUGGUGGGGUAAAAGCCCACCAAGGCGACGAUCUGUAGCUGGUCUGAGAGGACGACCAGCCACACUGGAACUGAGACACGGUCCAG